Molecule: ribosomal RNA, 433 nt
Filed under: uncultured bacterium
Lineage: Bacteria
Description: partial 16S ribosomal RNA
Rfam family: Bacterial small subunit ribosomal RNA
Source: RNAcentral
AACGAACGCUGGCGGCAUGCCUAACACAUGCAAGUCGAACGAGACCUUCGGGUCUAGUGGCGCACGGGUGCGUAACGCGUGGGAACCUGCCCUUAGGUUCGGAAUAACUCCCCGAAAGGGGUGCUAAUACCGGAUAAUGUCUUCGGACCAAAGAUUUAUCGCCUUUGGAUGGGCCCGCGUUGGAUUAGCUAGUUGGUAGGGUAAAAGCCUACCAAGGCGACGAUCCAUAGCUGGUCUGAGAGGAUGAUCAGCCACACUGGGACUGAGACACGGCCCAGACUCCUACGGGAAGCAGCAGUGGGGAAUAUUGGACAAUGGGCGAAAGCCUGAUCCAGCAAUGCCGCGUGAGUGAUGAAGGCCUUAGGGUUGUAAAGUUCUUUUACCCGGGAUGAUAAUGACAGUACCGGGAGAAUAAGCUCCGGCUAACUCCGUG